RNAcentral lists this ribosomal RNA (465 nucleotides) under Vreelandella stevensii. Its description in RNAcentral is "partial 16S ribosomal RNA". It matches the Rfam family "Bacterial small subunit ribosomal RNA", at positions 338 to 795 of the family's 1533-position model. Lineage: Bacteria; Pseudomonadati; Pseudomonadota; Gammaproteobacteria; Oceanospirillales; Halomonadaceae. The record is from RNAcentral.
CCUACGGGCGGCAGCAGUGGGGAAUAUUGGACAAUGGGCGAAAGCCUGAUCCAGCCAUGCCGCGUGUGUGAAGAAGGCCUUCGGGUUGUAAAGCACUUUCAGUGGGGAAGAAAGCCUUGGGGCUAAUACCCUCGAGGAAGGACAUCACCCACAGAAGAAGCACCGGCUAACUCCGUGCCAGCAGCCGCGGUAAUACGGAGGGUGCGAGCGUUAAUCGGAAUUACUGGGCGUAAAGCGCGCGUAGGCGGUCUGAUAAGCCGGUUGUGAAAGCCCCGGGCUCAACCUGGGAACGGCAUCCGGAACUGUCAGGCUAGAGUGCAGGAGAGGAAGGUAGAAUUCCCGGUGUAGCGGUGAAAUGCGUAGAGAUCGGGAGGAAUACCAGUGGCGAAGGCGGCCUUCUGGACUGACACUGACGCUGAGGUGCGAAAGCGUGGGUAGCAAACAGGAUUACAUACCCCAGUAGUC